UCGUCAUUUAUGCGUGAACGGGUUGUAUCUCACGUCAGUGGGCGUGAGGCGAGGCGGAGGGUGUGGAUGUGUGUGCGCUGUGCUCUGCUCCAGAGGUGGGGUCAUGGACGUCGAUGAGCUCAGGUACGACCCGUUCAGACGCGCUGCUACAACAAUAACUGCUGCCGUCGUCACUCCCCCUGCCUCCCAACACACUCUCUUCCCUUCUCCGCUGCUACGCCUUGAUAUGGCGAACAAGGAAAAGUACGUGAUGCGGCGCUGCAUCGCCCCUUAGCGACUGGAGGGGUGGGGGAGGCGAAAAAUGAGAGAGUGAGCCAUAUAGAGGCGUCGAUGGCUUUCCGCCUCUGACGUCUGUCUCCCGCUGUUUUCCUUUUCUUUCGCUUGCUUCUCCCACGCGGUAGUGGGUGCGGCCACUGCCGAUCGACUUCGCCUUCUAAAGCACUCGCCCUUUCCUUGGAGUGCACGUCGUUGACACCCACUGACGCUCUCAUCGACCCGUCCAUCCGCAUGCAUGCAAGUGCUGCUGCUUGCCCCCUUGCACGGAAAGGAACACCAGGCCCCCCCCCCCCCCCCCCCGCCGCCGCUCGAGUGGAGUCGGUGGAGAGGUGCCAAGAACUCUCCCCCACACCCCACCCAGAACACGAAGCACCGAGGGACGACAACUACAGGCAUGCACGCGGAGGGGAACAGUGAGACCUGCACCCCCCUCUCCCUCCCCCUACGAUGCGGUGGCGUCUUCCGAUCCAGAGAGACGCAAAGAGCGAAAGACGCAACGAUGUGCCAUAUCAAGUAGAAGAGUUUUGUAUAGCAAGCCUGAAGGUGAGAGGUAGCAGUCCGGUGGUGUUGUGGCGGUGCUGGCGGCAGCUGAGGACUCGGUUGGGGGUGGAGCGACGCCUUGGUUGCCGCCUAUCGCCUGCACGCGCAUCUACAUCCACAUACGCAUCCACGUUCUCCCGUCGCUCUUGACGACUCCAUCUCUCUCUCUGUAUGUGCGCGUGUCUAUGCCACAUUCCUUUGCCCUUCCUUCUCUUCACCUUCGUUGCACUUUCUGCCGUCUCGUCUCCUCUGCUGCGUAG
RNAcentral lists this unclassified non-coding RNA (1076 nucleotides) under Leishmania donovani. RNAcentral's name for it is "gene:unknown". The record is from RNAcentral. Lineage: Eukaryota; Euglenozoa; Kinetoplastea; Trypanosomatida; Trypanosomatidae.